AGCAAUGGACAUACCACCCUGAAUGAGUCCAAUCUUGUCUGAUCUUAGAAGCCAAGCUGUGCCAGGCUGUUUAGUACUUUGAUGGGAGACCUGGGAAUACCAGGCACUGCAGACU
This 115-nucleotide ribosomal RNA is filed under the name Microtus ochrogaster (prairie vole). Lineage: Eukaryota; Metazoa; Chordata; Mammalia; Rodentia; Cricetidae. The record is from RNAcentral.